Molecule: ribosomal RNA, 253 nt
Filed under: uncultured bacterium
Lineage: Bacteria
Description: partial 16S ribosomal RNA
Rfam family: Bacterial small subunit ribosomal RNA
Source: RNAcentral
UACGUAGGGGGCAAGCGUUGUCCGGAUUUAUUGGGCGUAAAGGGCGCGUAGGCGGUUUCUUAAGUUUGGAGUGACAGUGGGUGGCUUAACUACCCAAGGCCUCUGAAAACUGGGGAACUUGAGGACCAGAGAGGGACAUAGAAUUCCGGGUGGAGUGGUGAAAUGCGUAGAUAUCCGGAGGAAUACCAAAGGCGAAGGCAGUGUCCUGGAGGGUGACUGACGCUGAGGCGCGAAAGCUAGGGGAGCAAACGGG